RNAcentral lists this ribosomal RNA (253 nucleotides) under uncultured bacterium. RNAcentral's name for it is "partial 16S ribosomal RNA". It matches the Rfam family "Bacterial small subunit ribosomal RNA", at positions 524 to 776 of the family's 1533-position model. The record is from RNAcentral.
UACGAAGGGGGCUAGCGUUGCUCGGAAUCACUGGGCGUAAAGCGCACGUAGGCGGAUUGUUAAGUCAGGGGUGAAAUCCUGGAGCUCAACUCCAGAACUGCCUUUGAUACUGGCGAUCUCGAGUCCGGGAGAGGUGAGUGGAACUGCGAGCGUAGAGGUGAAAUUCGUAGAUAUUCGCAAGAACACCAGUGGCGAAGGCGGCUCACUGGCCCGGUACUGACGCUGAGGUGCGAAAGCGUGGGGAGCAAACAGG